CUGGAGAGAGUCAGUGGGAAGGCUACAGAACAACGGGAGAGAGUCAGUGGGCAGGCUACAGAACAACUGGAGAGAGUCAGUGGGAAGGUUACAGAACAACUGGAGAGAGUCAGUGGGCAGGCUACAGAACAACUGAAGAGAGUCAGUGGGAAGGCUACAGAACAACUGGAGAGAGUCAGUGGGCAGGCUACAGAACAACUGAAGAGAGUCAGUGGGAAGGCUACAGAACAACUGGAGAGAGUCAGUGGGAAGGUUACAUAACAACUGGAGAGAGUCAGUGGGAAGGCUACAGAACAACUGAAGAGAGUCAGUGGGAAGGUUACAGAACAACUGGAGAGAGUCAGUGGGCAGGCUACAGAACAACUGGAGAGAGUCAGUGGGAAGGUUACAGAACAACUGGAGAGAGUCAGUGGGAAGGCUACAGAACAACUGGAGAGAGUCAGUGGGAAGGCUACAGAACAACUGAAGAGAGUCGGUGGGAAGGUUACAGAACAACUGGAGAGAGUCAGUGGGAAGGUUACAGAACAACUGGAGAGAGUCAGUGGGAAGGCUACAGAACAACUGGAGAGAGUCAGUGGGAAGGUUACAGAACAACUGGAGAGAGUCAGUGGGAAGGCUACAGAACAACUGGAGAGAGUCAGUGGGAAGGCUACAGAACAACUGGAGAGAGUCAGUGGGAAGGCUACAGAACAA
Oncorhynchus keta (chum salmon) is the source of this 693-nucleotide long non-coding RNA. RefSeq lists it as uncharacterized. The transcript is spliced from 3 exons. The record is from RefSeq and is a predicted model, not a curated record. NCBI's taxonomy places the organism in Eukaryota, Metazoa, Chordata, Actinopteri, Salmoniformes, Salmonidae.